Molecule: non-coding RNA, 2641 nt
Organism: Oryctolagus cuniculus (rabbit)
Lineage: Eukaryota; Metazoa; Chordata; Mammalia; Lagomorpha; Leporidae
Source: RefSeq, a predicted model, not a curated record
CCCUGCCCCUCCCGGGUCCUUCCUAUCCUGGAACAAAUCAUUGGCUCAGACAACAACGAUGUGUUUAUCCCACAGGAUGUGACUCUGAAUAUUAGAAUGUCAGAAGCAGCUGCCUUCGCAAUAAGUUGCUGUCAGCGAGGAAAUAAAAGGGGAGUUGCAGUUAUUUAAUUUGGAGCAUGCUGGCGACAGGCUGGGCCUGAAGACUCACUGCUACUCUCCCAGCGGCACCUGCAGCAGACCCAGUAGGACCCUGUCCUUGGUUCUUGUCCUCUCGAGUCUGGGUGGGGCUGCUCACACCUUCCGCCAGCCCUUAUGUCCCUCCCGGAUGCCCAGCGCUGAGCUCCUCUCCUCCGGGGCCCUGCCCUCCUUACAGCCCUCCUGCCCCAUGUUGAAGAGAGGAAGCUGGGGCUCAGAAAGGCUGAGUAGCCAGGUCUUCUAACUCCACACACAGAGAUGGGGAAGGAGGCCAGUACCAGCGGCUCAGUUUUGCCUUACUGAGUGCCUCCCGUGGGCUUGGCCUGGGAAUAUCAAGAUGAGAGAGAUGCAAGGCUCCGUCCUGCCGCACUGUUCUCUGGUCCUGCAAUCCAGGACCUCAGGAGACCCCAGCAUGAAGUCCACCGGAGCAGGCGAGUGUGAGCUGGAAGCCUCAGAGUGUGGAGGAGAAGCGUGAGGAAGAGGGAACGCGGGUUCCAGUCCCAACUCAGCACUUGCUGGGUUUGUCACCUGGGCGGUUGCAGUGCCCCUUGGAGCCUUUUCCGCAUCUCGAGAACCGUGGCUAUUGGCCGGGCUCACAGACUGUGGUGAGGCCAAUGGGCAGACUUAAGUAGCAGCGUGGUGCCUCGCCACCGUGGGUGUGGGUCCUCCUGCAGGGGCAGCUCUGACCACACCCCUGGCAGCCUCUGGCCUUCCUCCACCCGACUCCCUGACGUCCAGAGUGGAGCAAUGAAGGAACUUCGAAGUUGGAGGCAGUCCUGCUCUUCAGUUAAUUCUGUGCCCUUUCUGUCCUUCCUCUCCUCCUGGGUCUUCCGUUGAAGUUGAGACUGUCACCUCCGUCCUGCCAAGCUGUAGGCCCUGCACAUCUGCUUCCCCACUGUCAACCAUUGGACACAGACUCCAGGUCUUCUGCUCCAAGUCAAAUCAGCCCUCCCGCAGUGAAGAUCUGAUUUUAUAGUUGGCCUCACUCAGAACCACAGUGUGUAAGUGGAAGAACACGGCCUGUGCAGUGUCUCCUAACCUCAUAGCCUUUGGUGAUUGGGAACCUCCCAAGCAAGCCUGAUUUGGAGAUUGAGAGUCCUGGUUGCCACCUCUGAGUCCAGUGCUCCUUCCAGACGGGAAACCAGGCACCUCCCCAGAUCUGGGUCUGAGGGUCCAUCAGCCCUGCCUGCUCCGCGCCACUGAUCAAAUGGAGGGGAGUGGUCUCUGGCUGGGACCUGUGAAGUUGCAACCUUAUGUGGUUUAUCCCAUUUGCCUCACCCCGCUAGAAGAGGGGCGUCUGUCUGGCCUCUUUACCCAAACUACCUCCAGGACCCUGCAGCCUGCAGAGCUGCAAGCUUUGUUCUCUUCAUGGAUCUUUCUAGAACAUGUGGUGGCCACCUCACACUCUUGCUUAACCGCCUAGUGGCUCGACACUUGUUUUUGGAUAGUAACAUCACCUUCUAUCCUGGCAUUCAAAAGCUUCCCUGAUCUAGACCCCAGCUCGCUUAUGGCUUUAGCUCAGAUGCUGCCCACUGAGCCUUGGCCCCGUGGAAUGGUUUGCCGCCUUUGGAUGAGCCAUGCUGUCUCCCAUCUCUGUGCGUUCACCCGUGCCAUUCGGAUGCCCUGCUGCCUUUUCCAUCUGUAGACCCCUCCCCAUGUGGCCAUGGCCAUUGUCACCUUGGCAGGAAGCCCUCUUUAGUUCCUUGCUGGAGGCCCUGUCUUCAGCUCAUCUUUAUAUCCCAGUGUCCAGCACGGUGCUGGGCGCCCAGCCGGGUCCUCAUUCGUCUGUGCUGAUGCCAGGGUGAUCUUUCUACAACCUUUCCCGCCAGAGGUGAGUGCACUCGACGGUUCUCUGUAGGUUUCGAAGCCUUUGGAGUAGGAUUUAUAAUCUGAUUAUAUGCAGAAGUAGGAUCCACAUGACAACAUUCAAUUAAAUUCAAUUCUAAAAAUCAUUUUGGGUGGCUUUUAGCUUACUUGAUAUUCAUCGUCAGUAACGCUUGGAGCCCCUCCCCGCCAGCUCUGUACUCAGGCUCUGUGAUCGCCUAAUUUAGUUUUGUCCAUCUGUUGUAAACAGUUGUCUCUGGACCCUGCAGAAACAACCCCCCCAGCUUCAUCCCACCUUCACCUGUGAAGUCAGGGGUCCUGGUGCUCAUCGCUGCCACCGCGGCUUUUCUGGGAGGCUGGCGUGUGGGUGUGCACGAGUGUGUGAACAAGUAGGUGUGCCUGUGUGGGUGUGUGCAUGUGUGUGUGUGAACAAGUAGGUAUGCCUGUGUGGGUGUGUGCAUGUGUGAAUGUGUGUGUGAACAAGUAGGUAUGCCUGUGUGGGUGUGUGCAUGUGUGAAUGUGUGUGUGAACAAGUAGGUGUGUCUGUGUGGGUGUGUGCAUGUGUGAGUGUGUGUGUGAACAAGUAGGUGUGCCUGUGUGGGUGUGUGCAUGUGUGAGUGUG